UCGAGGAUCUUCGGCAAUGGGCGCAAGCCUGACCGAGCGACGCCGCGUGAGCGAUGAAGGCCUUCGGGUUGUAAAGCUCUUUAGUGGGGGAGAAAAGCCGGGUCACACCGGUGUGAUCUAUCCCAAAAAUAAGCACGGGCUAAGUUCGUGCCAGCAGCCGCGGUAAGACGAACCGUGCGAACGUUGUUCGGAAUAACUGGGCUUAAAGGGCGCGUAGGCGGGCUGACAAGUCUGGGGUGAAAUGCCGCGGCUCAACCGUGGAACUGCCUCAGAUACUGUCGGCCUCGAGGGGGGUAGGGGCGUGCGGAACUGUAGGUGGAGCGGUGAAAUGCGUUGAUAUCUACAGGAACUCCGGUGGCGAAAGCGGCGCGCUGGACCUCUUCUGACGCUGAGGCGCGAAAGCCAGGGGAGCAAACGG
RNAcentral lists this ribosomal RNA (418 nucleotides) under uncultured bacterium. Its description in RNAcentral is "bacterial SSU rRNA". It matches the Rfam family "Bacterial small subunit ribosomal RNA", at positions 355 to 775 of the family's 1533-position model. The record is from RNAcentral.